Molecule: ribosomal RNA, 254 nt
Filed under: uncultured bacterium
Lineage: Bacteria
Description: partial 16S ribosomal RNA
Rfam family: Bacterial small subunit ribosomal RNA
Source: RNAcentral
UACAGAGGUCUCAAGCGUUUGUUCGGAUUCAUUGGGCGUAAAGGGUGCGUAGGUGGCGGGGCAAGUUUGGUGUGAAAUCCCGGGGCUCAACCCCGGAACUGCACUGAAUACUGCUUUGCUUGAGCACUGGAGAGGGAACUGGAAUUUACGGUGUAGCAGUGAAAUGCGUAGAUAUCGUAAGGAAGACCAGUGGCGAAGGCGAGUUCCUGGACAGUUGCUGACACUGAGGCACGAAGGCUAGGGGAGCAAACGGG